UUGUCUUUUCUUGAUCCUCAAUUUUAGAGGUUAGACUUGACUCUCUUUUUUCAUUGAGCUCAUUUGUUUGUUUCAAGAGCUUAUUCUCAGCUUCAAACUUGGAGAGAGAAUCAGUACUAAGAAGGGCUAUUUCCAGUUCUUCUUGAACUUUUUCUUUUUCCUUUAGAAGAAGUGAAUAGUCUUUAGAUAGAACUCUAAACCACUUCAUGUAUUGAUGCAGAUCAGAG
This 227-nucleotide long non-coding RNA is filed under the name Panax ginseng (ginseng). Its description in RNAcentral is "long non-coding RNA (PGIN_LNC018639)". The record is from RNAcentral. Lineage: Eukaryota; Viridiplantae; Streptophyta; Magnoliopsida; Apiales; Araliaceae.